GGCCUACGGGUGGCUGCAGUGGGGAAUAUUGGACAAUGGGGGCAACCCUGAUCCAGCAAUGCCGCGUGAGUGAAGAAGGCCUUCGGGUUGUAAAGCUCUUUUAUCAGGGACGAUAAUGACGGUACCUGAGGAAUAAGCUCCGGCUAACUUCGUGCCAGCAGCCGCGGUAAUACGACGGGAGCUAGCGUUGUUCGGAAUGACUGGGCGUAAAGGGCGCGUAGGCGGUUUUAUAAGUCAGAUGUGAAAGCCUUGGGCUUAACCUGAGAAUAGCAUUUGAGACUGUAAGACUAGAGGACGAGAGAGGAAAGUGGAAUUACGAGUGUAGAGGUGAAAUUCGUAGAUAUUCGUAAGAACACCAGUGGCGAAGGCGGCUUUCUGGCUCGUAUCUGACGCUAAGGCGCGAAAGCGUGGGGAGCAAACAGGAUUAGAUACCCUAGUAGUCCGA
This 445-nucleotide ribosomal RNA is filed under the name uncultured Rickettsiales bacterium. Its description in RNAcentral is "bacterial SSU rRNA". It matches the Rfam family "Bacterial small subunit ribosomal RNA", at positions 335 to 798 of the family's 1533-position model. Lineage: Bacteria; Pseudomonadati; Pseudomonadota; Alphaproteobacteria; Rickettsiales. The record is from RNAcentral.